Molecule: ribosomal RNA, 655 nt
Filed under: uncultured Lachnospiraceae bacterium
Lineage: Bacteria; Bacillati; Bacillota; Clostridia; Lachnospirales; Lachnospiraceae
Description: bacterial SSU rRNA
Rfam family: Bacterial small subunit ribosomal RNA
Source: RNAcentral
UAACUUAGUGGCGGACGGGUGAGUAAUGCGUGAGCAACCUGCCCUUCAGAGGGGGACAACAGUUGGAAACGACUGCUAAUACCGCAUAAUGUAUUCGGAAGGCAUCUUCUGAAUACCAAAGGAGAAAUCCGCUGAGGGAUGGGCUCACGUCUGAUUAGUUAGUUGGUGAGGUAACGGCUCACCAAGACUGCGAUCAGUAGCCGGACUGAGAGGUUGAACGGCCACAUUGGGACUGAGAUACGGCCCAGACUCCUACGGGAGGCAGCAGUGGGGAAUAUUGGGCAAUGGGCGAAAGCCUGACCCAGCAACGCCGCGUGAAGGAAGAAGGCCUUCGGGUUGUAAACUUCUUUUAAGAGGGACGAAGAAGUGACGGUACCUCUUGAAUAAGCCACGGCUAACUACGUGCCAGCAGCCGCGGUAAUACGUAGGUGGCGAGCGUUAUCCGGAUUUACUGGGUGUAAAGGGCGCGUAGGCGGGAAUGCAAGUCAGAUGUGAAAUCCAGGGGCUUAACCCUUGAACUGCAUUUGAAACUGUAUUUCUUGAGUGUCGGAGAGGUUGACGGAAUUCCUAGUGUAGCGGUGAAAUGCGUAGAUAUUAGGAGGAACACCAGUGGCGAAGGCGGUCAACUGGACGAUAACUGACGCUGAGGCGCGAA